Molecule: ribosomal RNA, 253 nt
Filed under: uncultured bacterium
Lineage: Bacteria
Description: partial 16S ribosomal RNA
Rfam family: Bacterial small subunit ribosomal RNA
Source: RNAcentral
UACGUAGGGGGCUAGCGUUGUCCGGAAUCAUUGGGCGUAAAGCGCGUGUAGGCGGCCCGGUAAGUCCGCUGUGAAAGUCAGGGGCUCAACCCUUGAAAGCCGGCCGAUACUGUCGGACUAGAGUCCGGAAGAGGCAAGUGGAAUUCCCGGUGUAGCGGUGAAAUGCGCAGAUAUCGGGAGGAACACCAAUGGCGAAGGCAGCACUCUGGGACGUGACUGACGCUGAGACGCGAAAGCGUGGGGAGCAAACAGG